RNAcentral lists this ribosomal RNA (406 nucleotides) under uncultured bacterium. Its description in RNAcentral is "partial 16S ribosomal RNA". It matches the Rfam family "Bacterial small subunit ribosomal RNA", at positions 30 to 526 of the family's 1533-position model. The record is from RNAcentral.
AUUGAACGCUGGCGGCAGGCCUAACACAUGCAAGUCGAACGAGUGGCGGACGGGUGAGUAAUGUCUGGGAAACUGCCCGUUGGAGGGGGAAACCUCUUGGAACGGUUAGCUAUAACCCCUAACCCUCGAAUUUGCCCAGAUGGGAUUAGCUAGUAGGUGGGGUAACGGCUCACCUAGGCGACGAUCCCUAGCUGGUCUGAGAGGAUGACCAGCCACACUGGAACUGAGACACGGUCCAGACUCCUACGGGAGGCAGCAGUGGGGAAUAUUGCACAAUGGGCGCAAGCCUGAUGCAGCCAUGCCGCGUGUAUGAAGAAGGCCUUCGGGUUGUAAAGUACUUUCAGCGAGGAGGCGUUACUCGCAGAAGAAGCACCGGCUAACUCCGUGCCAGCAGCCGCGGUAAUAC